GAGAAACCAUACCCCAGCUAUGUAGAGUAAGUUGCCUAUUCUCCCUAUUUGCAGUUAAAGUAGUCAGAAGCACCGGCUGCAGUCUAUGAGGUACCAGUGAAAAGCCCUAGUUUCCAGUUCAAGGUUUCGGUCUUAUCGUACAGUAGUGAAGAAUGAUAUAAAGGGAAGGGCAGACUAAAGUGACCAAUAAAGUAAAUAGAACCAAACUAAGUAGUAGAGGUACGAUCUAGUGAUUAAGGUAUUGCACUCAUAGGUAUGGUCCAGCACACACAGAUUAAUCAAAAGUAGUAUAGCAUGGAAUCCAAGGAGUGUUAGUAGCCAAAAGUCUUCAAAGUGGAAUAUAUUCUAAUUAAUGUCGAGCAAUCAGAAUCAAAUAAGUAAGUCGUAGGUUGAAACCGAUGUUAACAAGACCUUGACCUUCACCUAGGAACCCGGGAUGGUUAUAUUAAGAAUAAGAGAUAGGCAAGGCAGCUUAGGUAGCAAGAAAGCAAGUAUAUAGUUUCAGAACGAAGGCAAGGCAGCUUAGGUAGCAAGAAAGCAAGUAUAUAGUUUCAGAACGAAGGCAAGGGGAGGUAGUUUGGGAGCCAGGAGAGAGGUAGUAUAGUGAAAGCUUGUGUUUCGAGUUGAGUUCACUGAGUUCCCAAACAGUAUAGUUUGGCCUGUUAGGCAUUGGGUUGAUUCUUGUCAACAGUAGUUCUUUCUUAUAUCUACUGCUCGGUGGCUUGGAGCUAUGCUUGGUAUCCAGUAUUCUGUAUGGAAUUCCUUUUACACUGGACCUUUUGGAAUUCUGAUAGUGGAUAGCUUUCUUCUUUUCUUGUUCUCCGGGGCGCCUAGAGUUAAUCUGCCUAGUAGUGAUUCCUUAUAUAGUAGUAUUGUAUUGGCUUCCGUUCAUGGUAGCUAUAAGCCUGAGUGCGUGUCCGCUCUAGGUUAGGUGUGUUUGUGUCUCCCUUGGUUAUGUGUAUGGUGUGUUUGUGUCUCGGGUUUGUUGGUUUUGUUUCAUAUGUGCCUAAUGGUCGAUGUAGUGUUACCGCUACGUGGAUGUCUGUAGUAACAUAGUCAUUGGUUGCAUAAGUAACAGCGGAGUUGUAAUUAAUAGAACACUUUUACUUGGUUCUAAAGCGUAGUAAUGGAAUUGGCAUUGUAUAAAGUCAGCUGCCCGCUACCUAAACUCAAAAGAGAGAAUAGAGCAGUGCCUUAACAGACAGACUAUAUCUUUUGGCGGUUCUCUGUAAUCCAACUAAUCACUACCAUAGUGGAGCUGGCGCUUCUCGUUCUUUAUCUAGUGAUAUGGAGCCCGCCUUUACUCUUUUUGUUUCCAAAGCUCAGUAAUAGCAUAAUGAAUUAAUAUAUCAUCAAAAUAGAAUAAUAAGUGCCAAGCAACGACUAUGGACGAUCCGCAGUCCAGCGCUCUCAACCAGUAACAAAUGGCAAAGAACUCAGUCUAAACCCAGUAGUCAAAAACCUUACCUUUACUACUCAACACCUUACUUG
This 1491-nucleotide long non-coding RNA is filed under the name Musa acuminata (dwarf banana). Its description in RNAcentral is "long non-coding RNA (MACU_LNC007521)". The record is from RNAcentral. Lineage: Eukaryota; Viridiplantae; Streptophyta; Magnoliopsida; Zingiberales; Musaceae.